CGUGUAGGUGGUACUGUAAGUAGGGCGUGAAAGCUCCUGGCUCAACUGGGAGAGGCCGUUCUAAACUACAGGACUAGAGGAUGGUAGAGGGAGGUGGAAUUCCAGGUGUAGCGGUGGAAUGCGCAGAUAUCUGGAGGAACACCGGUGGCGAAGGCGGCCUCCUGGACCAUUCCUGACACUCAGACGCGAAAGCUAGGGUAGCAAACG
Molecule: ribosomal RNA, 207 nt
Filed under: uncultured bacterium
Lineage: Bacteria
Description: partial 16S ribosomal RNA
Rfam family: Bacterial small subunit ribosomal RNA
Source: RNAcentral